UACGUAGGGUGCGAGCGUUGUCCGGAAUUAUUGGGCGUAAAGAGCUUGUAGGCGGUUUGUCGCGUCUGCUGUGAAAAUCCGGGGCUCAACCCCGGACUUGCAGUGGGUACGGGCAGACUAGAGUGUGGUAGGGGAGACUGGAAUUCCUGGUGUAGCGGUGAAAUGCGCAGAUAUCAGGAGGAACACCGAUGGCGAAGGCAGGUCUCUGGCCGACUACUGACGCUGAGAAGCGAAAGCAUGGGGAGCGAACAGG
This 253-nucleotide ribosomal RNA is filed under the name uncultured bacterium. RNAcentral describes it as "partial 16S ribosomal RNA". It matches the Rfam family "Bacterial small subunit ribosomal RNA", at positions 524 to 776 of the family's 1533-position model. The record is from RNAcentral.